Non-coding RNA from Mycena polygramma, 94 nucleotides. Lineage: Eukaryota; Fungi; Basidiomycota; Agaricomycetes; Agaricales; Mycenaceae. The record is from the annotation of a GenBank genome assembly.
GAUCUGACAGCAUAAUGGUUCAUGCGCCUGCUCACUUUAAAGAAGUUAUUCAGGAGUUCCGCAGGAGAGCUCGGUUCGAGUCCGGGUCAGGUCU